GAUUAUGGCUCAGGAUGAACGCUAGCGAUAGGCUUAACACAUGCAAGUCGAGGGGCAGCACGGUGUAGCAAUACACUGGUGGCGACCGGCGUACGGGUGCGUAACACGUAUGCAACCUACCCGCUAUGGGGGAUAACCCGGCGAAAGUCGGACUAAUACCCCAUAUUAUUCUUACCGGGCAUCCGGUAGGUCUGAAAGAUUUAUCGAUUGCGGAUGGGCAUGCGGAUGAUUAGCUAGUAGGUGGGGUAACGGCUCACCUAGGCGACGAUCAUUAGGGGUUCUGAGAGGAAGGUCCCCCACACUGGAACUGAGACACGGUCCAGACUCCUACGGGAGGCAGCAGUGAGGAAUAUUGGUCAAUGGGCGCUAGCCUGAACCAGCCAAGUCGCGUGAAGGAUGACAGAAUCUAUGGUUUGUAAACUUCCUUUGCAGGGGAGUAAAGUGCGACACGUGUGUUGUAUUGCAAGUACCCUGCGAAUAAGCAUCGGCUAACUCCGUGCCAGCAGCAGC
RNAcentral lists this ribosomal RNA (510 nucleotides) under uncultured bacterium. RNAcentral's name for it is "bacterial SSU rRNA". It matches the Rfam family "Bacterial small subunit ribosomal RNA", at positions 15 to 518 of the family's 1533-position model. The record is from RNAcentral.